GGGGGGGGUAAGCGUUGUUCGGAAUUACUGGGCGUAAAGGGCUCGUAGGCGGCCAACUAAGUCGGACGUGAAAUCCCUCAGCUUAACUGGGGAACUGCGUCCGAUACUGGAUGGCUUGGAUUUGGGAGAGGGAUGCGGAAUUCCAGGUGUAGCGGUGAAAUGCGUAGAUAUCCGGAGGAACACCGGUGGCGAAGGCGGCAUCCUGGACCAAUAUUGACGCUGAGGAGCGAAAGCCAGGGGAGCAAACGGGAUUAGAUACCCCGGUAGUCCUGGCCCUAAACGAUGAAUGCUUGGUGUGGCGGGUAUCGACCCCUGCCGUGCCGAAGCUAACGCAUUAAGCAUUCCGCCUGGGGAGUACGGUCGCAAGGCUG
RNAcentral lists this ribosomal RNA (371 nucleotides) under uncultured bacterium. RNAcentral describes it as "bacterial SSU rRNA". It matches the Rfam family "Bacterial small subunit ribosomal RNA", at positions 527 to 896 of the family's 1533-position model. The record is from RNAcentral.